UCUCCGUUGGUGAACCAGCGGAGGGAUCAUUACCGAGUUUACAACUCCCAAACCCAAUGUGAACCAUACCAAACUGUUGCCUCGGCGGGGUCACGCCCCGGGUGCGUCGCAGCCCCGGAACCAGGCGCCCGCCGGAGGGACCAACCAAACUCUUUCUGUAGUCCCCUCGCGGACGUUAUUUUUACAGCUCUGAGCAAAAAUUCAAAAUGAAUCAAAACUUUCAACAACGGAUCUCUUGGUUCUGGCAUCGAUGAAAACGCAGC
RNAcentral lists this unclassified non-coding RNA (263 nucleotides) under plant metagenome. Its description in RNAcentral is "partial contains small subunit ribosomal RNA, internal transcribed spacer 1, and 5.8S ribosomal RNA". The record is from RNAcentral.